CAUGACAUUCUAUAGCACUAUUUGCAUAUAAAAGUAGCAUUCUUCACAAGUCCGGCAAUUACACAAAGAAGAAAAAUACAAUCAAUCAGAGAAAAUAAACCCAUUAAAAAAAUGCAUCUAGUAAAGAAAAACAGUUGGAAAUAUGAAAGCACGCAGUCAUACGAUACAACUUGGCACAUAUAAAAGAAAACAAUAAACCGAGAGAGAGAGAGACCAUCUGAAAUCCCAUUUGUUUGGAGCUCCGGUAGUGAGGUCAGCAGCUAAGUUUUCCAUGUUUUUGGGUAUGGAAUUCGAAAACAGGGAAGGAACAACUUUCGCGUC
This 321-nucleotide long non-coding RNA is filed under the name Salvia miltiorrhiza (redroot sage). Its description in RNAcentral is "long non-coding RNA (SMIL_LNC008798)". The record is from RNAcentral. Lineage: Eukaryota; Viridiplantae; Streptophyta; Magnoliopsida; Lamiales; Lamiaceae.